This 484-nucleotide ribosomal RNA is filed under the name uncultured bacterium. Its description in RNAcentral is "partial 16S ribosomal RNA". It matches the Rfam family "Bacterial small subunit ribosomal RNA", at positions 30 to 507 of the family's 1533-position model. The record is from RNAcentral.
AUUGAACGCUUUCUUCAGGCCUAACACAUGCAAGUCGAGCGGAUGAAGGGAGCUUGCUCCUGGAUUCAGCGGCGGACGGGUGAGAAAUGCCUAGGAAUCUGCCUGGUAGUGGGGGAUAACGUCCGGAAACGGGCGCUAACACCGCAUACGUCCUGAGGGAGAAAGUGGGGGAUCUUCGGACCUCACGCUAUCAGAUGAGCCUAGGUCGGAUUAGCUAGUUGGUGGGGUAAAGGCCUACCAAGGCGACGAUCCGUAACUGGUCUGAGAGGAUGAUCAGUCACACUGGAACUGAGACACGGUCCAGACUCCUACGGGAGGCAGCAGUGGGGAAUAUUGGACGAUGGGCGAAAGCCUGAUCCAGCCAUGCCGCGUGUGUGAAGAAGGUCUUCGGAUUGUAAAGCACUUUAAGUUGGGAGGAAGGGCAGUAAGUUAAUACCUUGCUGUUUUGACGUUACCAACAGAAUAAGCACCGGCUAACUUCGUG